RNAcentral lists this ribosomal RNA (1520 nucleotides) under Verrucomicrobiota bacterium. RNAcentral describes it as "bacterial LSU rRNA". It matches the Rfam family "Bacterial large subunit ribosomal RNA", at positions 1 to 1481 of the family's 2925-position model. Lineage: Bacteria; Pseudomonadati; Verrucomicrobiota. The record is from RNAcentral.
UUGGUGGUCAAGCUACUAAGGGCGCACGGUGAAUGCCUUGGCGUCAGGAGGCGAUGAAGGACGUGGUUAGCUGCGAAAAGCUUCGGGGAGUCGCAAGCAGGCGUCGAUCCGGAGAUGUCCGAAUGGGGAAACCCGGCGGGAGUCAUAUCCCGUCAUCUUCCGGCUGAAUACAUAGGCCGGCGGAAGCCAACGGGGGGAAUUGAAACAUCUCAGUACCCCUAGGAACAGAAAUCAAAUAGAGAUUCCCGUAGUAGUGGCGAGCGAACCGGGAAUAGCCCAAACCGUUGCACUUCGGUGUAACGGGGUUGUAGGGCCGGCGACAUGGGAGGCGAGGUUUUAGUCGAACAGUCUGGAAAGUCUGGCCAUAGAGGGUGACAGCCCCUUAGGCGAAAAGACCAGACCCCCUAGCCGGUUCCUGAGUACCACGGGGCUCGAGUAACCCUGUGGGAACCUGGGAGGACCAUCUUCCAAGGCUAAAUACUACCUGACGACCGAUAGUGAACCAGUACCAUAUAGUGAACCAGUACCGUGAGGGAAAGGCGAAAAGAACCCCUGCUAGGGGAGUGAAAAGACCCUGAAACCGUGUGUCUACAAGCCGUGGAAGCGCUAUGGCCUUCGGGCAAUGCGCGACCGCGUACCUUUUGCAUAAUGGGCCUGCGAGUUAUUGUUGGUGGCAAGGUUAAGCCGUUAGGCGUAGCCGUAGCGAAAGCGAGUCCGAAAUGGGCGUCCAGUCGCCAGAAAUAGACCCGAAACCGAGUGAUCUACCCAUGUCCAGGAUGAAGCGAAGGUAAUACUUCGUGGAGGUCCGAACCCACUACAGUUGAAAAUGUAGGGGAUGAGGUGUGGGUAGGAGUGAAAGGCUAAUCAAACCCGGUGAUAGCUGGUUCUCGCCGAAACCUAUUUAGGUAGGUCCUCAGGAAACUCUGUGUCGGAGGUAGAGCACUAGAUGGGCUAGGGGUCCUACCAGACUACCAAACCCAACGAAACUCCGAAUGCCGACAUAUCUAUCCUGGGAGCCAGGCAGUGGGAGCUAAGUUCCAUUGCCGAGAGGGAAAGAGCCCAGAUCGCCAGCUAAGGUCCCCAAGUUCAUGCUAAGUGGCAAAGGAUGUGGGAGCUCAUUGACAACCAGGAGGUUGGCUUAGAAGCAGCCAUCCUUUAAAGAAAGCGUAAUAGCUCACUGGUCAAGAGAGCCUGCGCCAAAAAUGUAACGGGGCUUAAGCAUGACACCGAAGCUGCGGAUUCAGUCAAUCUUCGGAUUGAUUGAGUGGUAGGCGAGCAUUCCAAGGGCGGUGAAGGCAGACCGUAAGGACUGUUGGAGCGCUUGGAAGAGAUAAUGCAGGCUUGAGUAGCGAUAAAACGAGUGAAAAACUCGUUCGCCGUAAGCCCAAGGGUUCCUGGGUAAAGUUAAUCUUCCCAGGGUUAGUCGGAUCCUAAGGCGAGGCUGAAAGGCGUAGCUGAUGGUAAGCAGGUUAAUAUUCCUGCACCACCACGGAUGGUUUUCGUAGGGGGGACGGAGAAAG